RNAcentral lists this ribosomal RNA (622 nucleotides) under Staphylococcus pseudintermedius. RNAcentral describes it as "partial 23S ribosomal RNA". It matches the Rfam family "Bacterial large subunit ribosomal RNA", at positions 2209 to 2832 of the family's 2925-position model. The record is from RNAcentral. Lineage: Bacteria; Bacillati; Bacillota; Bacilli; Caryophanales; Staphylococcaceae.
UUGUAUUGGAUUUCUAACCCGCAGCACUUAUCGUGCUGGGAGACAGUGUCAGGCGGGCAGUUUGACUGGGGCGGUCGCCUCCUAAAGAGUAACGGAGGCGCUCAAAGGUUCCCUCAGAAUGGUUGGAAAUCAUUCAUAGAGUGUAAAGGCAUAAGGGAGCUUGACUGCGAGACCUACAAGUCGAGCAGGGUCGAAAGACGGACUUAGUGAUCCGGUGGUUCCGCAUGGAAGGGCCAUCGCUCAACGGAUAAAAGCUACCCCGGGGAUAACAGGCUUAUCUCCCCCAAGAGUUCACAUCGACGGGGAGGUUUGGCACCUCGAUGUCGGCUCAUCGCAUCCUGGGGCUGUAGUCGGUCCCAAGGGUUGGGCUGUUCGCCCAUUAAAGCGGUACGCGAGCUGGGUUCAGAACGUCGUGAGACAGUUCGGUCCCUAUCCGUCGUGGGCGUAGGAAAUUUGAGAGGAGCUGUCCUUAGUACGAGAGGACCGGGAUGGACAUACCUCUGGUGUACCAGUUGUCGUGCCAACGGCAUAGCUGGGUAGCUAUGUAUGGACGGGAUAAGUGCUGAAAGCAUCUAAGCAUGAAGCCCCCCUCGAGAUGAGAUUUCCCAACUUCGGUUAUAAG